Molecule: non-coding RNA, 136 nt
Organism: Brachypodium distachyon (stiff brome)
Lineage: Eukaryota; Viridiplantae; Streptophyta; Magnoliopsida; Poales; Poaceae
Source: Rfam
AUACUACUUUCUCCGUCUAACGAAUGAUGUCUCAACUUUGACUAAAUUUGAAUGCAUCUAUACACUAAGUUAUGUCUAGAUACAUUCAAAUUUUGACAAACUUGAAACAUCUUUUGUUGAACGGAGGGAGAAUGAG